RNAcentral lists this ribosomal RNA (253 nucleotides) under uncultured bacterium. RNAcentral's name for it is "partial 16S ribosomal RNA". It matches the Rfam family "Bacterial small subunit ribosomal RNA", at positions 524 to 776 of the family's 1533-position model. The record is from RNAcentral.
GACGUAGGGCGCGAGCGUUGUCCGGAUUUAUUGGGCGUAAAGAGCUCGUAGGCGGCUUGUCGCGUCGACUGUGAAAUCCCGCGGCUCAACUGCGGGUCUGCAGUCGAUACGGGCAGGCUAGAGUUCGGUAGGGGAGAUUGGAAUUCCUGGUGUAGCGGUGGAAUGCGCAGAUAUCAGGAGGAACACCAAUGGCGAAGGCAGAUCUCUGGGCCGUAACUGACGCUGAGGAGCGAAAGCAUGGGGAGCGAACAGG